This 478-nucleotide ribosomal RNA is filed under the name uncultured beta proteobacterium. RNAcentral describes it as "SSU rRNA". It matches the Rfam family "Bacterial small subunit ribosomal RNA", at positions 242 to 712 of the family's 1533-position model. Lineage: Bacteria; Pseudomonadati; Pseudomonadota; Betaproteobacteria. The record is from RNAcentral.
CACCUAGUUGGUGGGGUAAUGGCUCACCAAGGCGACGAUCGGUAGCUGGUCUGAGAGGAUGAUCAGCCACACUGGGACUGAGACACGGCCCAGACUCCUACGGGAGGCAGCAGUGGGGAAUUUUGGACAAUGGGGGCAACCCUGAUCCAGCCAUGCCGCGUGAGUGAAGAAGGCCUUCGGGUUGUAAAGCUCUUUCGGUGGGAACGAAACGGUGGAGCCUAAUAAGCUCCACUUCUGACGGUACUCACAGAAGAAGCACCGGCUAACUACGUGCCAGCAGCCGCGGUAAUACGUAGGGUGCGAGCGUUAAUCGGAAUUACUGGGCGUAAAGCGUGCGCAGGCGGCGUGUUAAGACAGGUGUGAAAGCCCCGAGCUUAACUUGGGAAUUGCGCUUGUGACUGGCGAGCUGGAGUGUGGCAGAGGGAGGUGGAAUUCCACGUGUAGCAGUGAAAUGCGUAGAGAUGUGGAGGAACACCGA